UGACGUCAAGUCAUCAUGGCCCUUACGAGUAGGGCUACACACGUGCUACAAUGGCGCAUACAAAGAGAAGCGACCUCGCGAGAGCAAGCGGACCUCAUAAAGUGCGUCGUAGUCCGGAUUGGAGUCUGCAACUCGACUCCAUGAAGUCGGAAUCGCUAGUAAUCGUAGAUCAGAAUGCUACGGUGAAUACGUUCCGGGCCUUGUACACACCGCCCGUCACACCAUGGGAGUGGGUUGCAAAAGAAGUAGGUAGCUUAACUUCGGGAGGGCGCUUACCACUUUGUGAUUCAUGACUGGGGUGAA
RNAcentral lists this ribosomal RNA (303 nucleotides) under Enterobacter asburiae. RNAcentral's name for it is "bacterial SSU rRNA". It matches the Rfam family "Bacterial small subunit ribosomal RNA", at positions 1180 to 1484 of the family's 1533-position model. Lineage: Bacteria; Pseudomonadati; Pseudomonadota; Gammaproteobacteria; Enterobacterales; Enterobacteriaceae. The record is from RNAcentral.